RNAcentral lists this ribosomal RNA (1978 nucleotides) under Haplomitrium mnioides. RNAcentral's name for it is "SSU rRNA". It matches the Rfam family "Bacterial small subunit ribosomal RNA". Lineage: Eukaryota; Viridiplantae; Streptophyta; Haplomitriopsida; Calobryales; Haplomitriaceae. The record is from RNAcentral.
AUCAUACUCAAAAAAAAGAGUUUGAUCCUGGCUCAGAAUGAACGCUAGCGAUAUGCUUAACACAUGCAAGUUGAACGUUGUUUUCGUUCCUAUGUGUUGGGGGUUGUAAAGGGGGGGGAAACCCCGUUCCCUCCUCCGAGCUGCUCAACUGGCUACGCCAGUUGAGCCUGCGGCCUCCGAUCGACCAUGAGAACCGUUGAAAACAAAGUGGCGAACGGGCGAGUAAUGUGUGGGAAUCUGCCAAACAGUUUGGGCUAAAUCCCGAAUAAACGAAAGCUAAAAGGCGCUGUUUGAUGAGCCUACAAAGCAUCAGGUAGUUGGUUGGGUAAGGGCUGACCAAGCCAACGACGCUUAGCGGGUCUGUUAGGACGAUCCGCCGCACUGGGACUGAGACACGGCCCAGACUCCCACGGGAGGCUGCAGUGGGGAAUCUUGGACAAUGGGCGAAAGCCUGAUCCAGCAAUAUGGCGUGAGUGAAGAAGGGCGAUGCAGCUUGUAAAGCUCUUCCGUCGAGUACGUGAUCAUGACAAGACUCGAAUAAGAAGCCCCGGCUAACUCCGUGCCAGCAGCCGCGGUAAGACGGGGGGGGCAAGUGUUAUUCGGAAUGACUAGGCGUAAAGGGCACGUAGGCGGUGGAUCCAGUUGAAAGUGAAAGUCGCCAGCUCAACUGGCGGAAUGCUUUCGGAACCGAUUUACUAGAGUAAGGCAUAGAGGAAAGCGGAAUUUCGUGUGUAGCGAUAAAAUGCAAAAAUAUACGAAGGAACGCCAAAAGCGAAGGCAGCUUUCCGGUUCUUUAACUGACGCUAAAGUGCGAAAGCAUGGGGAGCAAACAGGAUUAGAUACCCUGGUAGUCCAUGCUGUAAACGAUGAGUGUUCGUUCUUGGUCCACUGACAUCGCACUCCUUCGGUCUGACUUAAGCUCGGCUUAAUGCUUCAAUUACUGCAAAGGUAGUGCGACUCGAUUGUUUCGUUUUCUUCGAGUUCCAACAAUCGUGAGAAAUAUGUGAUGAUCAGGGGCUGAGCUAACGCGUUGAACACUCCGCCUGGGGAGUACGGUCGCAAGGCUGAAACUCAAAGGAAUUGACGGGGGCCUGCACAAGCGGUGGAGCAUGUGGUUUAAUUCGAUUCAACGCGCAAAACCUUACCAGCCCUUGACAUAUGAAUAAGUGUGCUUGUCCUUAACAGGAUGGUACGGAAAUUGAUACAGGUGUUGCAUGGCUGUCGUCAGCUCGUGUCUUGAGACGUUGGGUUAAGUCCUAUAACGAGCGCAACCCCCGUUUUGUGUUGCUAAGACAUGCUUUGGUUCAAUCCCUGACAACUGGAGACUGACGAAGACUACGCCGUGAAAAUGGAGGGGACCGACGAGCUAAGUUUUUGCAAACGCCGUGUGGCUCAUUCUGAGAGGAAUAUGACCAUACAAAGUUUCCAUACGGUACUUUCCGACGAACGAAGCUUCCAGAGCAUUGUACACUUCACACGGAGGAACUCAGUCUUAGUCAAAUUGACACUCCAAGCCAUGUGCUGCACUCACAAAAAACUGCCAGUGAUAUACCGGAGGAAGGUGGGGAUGACGUCAAGUCCGCAUGGCCCUUAUGGGCUGGGCUACACACGUGCUACAAUGGCAAUUACAAUCGGAAGCAAUGCUGUAAGGCGGAGCGAAUCCGGAAAGAUUGCCUAAGUUCGGAUUGUUCUCUGCAACUCGAGAACAUGAAGUUGGAAUCGCUAGUAAUCGCGGAUCAGCAUGCCGCGGUGAAUGAGUACUCGGGCCCUGUACAAACUGCCCGUCAAACCAUGGGAAUUGGUUUCGCCCGAAGCAGCCGACCAAGGAUCACCCAUUACUCGGGGUGUUCCACGCCGUUGUUGAGUGUGGUCUACUAGAGUCAUUGGUGAUCUUAUGUAGGAGACCAAGGUUGGGCCAUUGACUGAGGUUAAGUCGUAACAAGGUAGCCGCAGGGGAACCUGUGGCUGGAUUGACUCC